CAUUUCAGACGACGCUUGCUUCAGUUUUUGCUCUGCUGUAGAAUCAGUUUCCUCCGGAUAGCUCCUUUUAUUUGCAUUCGAGAUGUUUUCCGUCAAAAAGUUAAUAAACGUUUCUAUUUCGCCUGAAAAAUUUAUCAUUGCGCGUGCAAUUUCAACGAUAUCCUCGGGUUCAGCCUUUUGAAAAAGUCUAUUAUCUUUAAGUCUCUUUCUAAUCUUGUCCCUUGCAUCCAAUUUUUUUU
Molecule: long non-coding RNA, 239 nt
Filed under: Mytilus galloprovincialis (Mediterranean mussel)
Lineage: Eukaryota; Metazoa; Mollusca; Bivalvia; Mytilida; Mytilidae
Source: RNAcentral